This 223-nucleotide RNase P RNA is filed under the name Actinomycetales bacterium. Its description in RNAcentral is "partial RNase P RNA component class A". It matches the Rfam family "Bacterial RNase P class A", at positions 139 to 367 of the family's 367-position model. From Rfam's summary of the family: Ribonuclease P (RNase P) is a ubiquitous endoribonuclease, found in archaea, bacteria and eukarya as well as chloroplasts and mitochondria. Its best characterised activity is the generation of mature 5'-ends of tRNAs by cleaving the 5'-leader elements of precursor-tRNAs. The record is from RNAcentral. Lineage: Bacteria; Bacillati; Actinomycetota; Actinomycetes; Actinomycetales.
GCAAUGUUGGUAAGGGUGAAACGGCGGUGUAAGAGACCACCAGUAAUUGCAGCAAUGCAGUUAGCUAUGUAAACCCCACCUGAAGCAAGACCAAGAAGAUAGUGCGUUGCUCGCGCUCAAGCUAUCGGGUAGGUCGCUCGAAUCUGUAAGUAAUUGCAGAUCUAGAUGGAUGGUGAUCAGUUCGCAAGAACUACAGGAUCCGGCUUAUAGGGCGACUCUUCUU